AGCAAGGCGGCCCAGUGGUGAAGGCAAUGGACUGCUAAUCCAUUGUGCAUGUGUGGGUUCGAAUCCCACCCUCGUCA
This is a non-coding RNA of Elgaria multicarinata webbii, 77 nucleotides long. The record is from the annotation of a RefSeq genome assembly. NCBI's taxonomy places the organism in Eukaryota, Metazoa, Chordata, Lepidosauria, Squamata, Anguidae.